AACGCACAUUGCGCCCCUUGGUAUUCCGAGGGGCAUGCCUGUUCGAGCGUCAUUACACCACUCAAGCAUAGCUUGGUAUUGGGCAACCGCCCCCGCCAGUCGGGGACGCGCCUCAAACACCUCGGCGGAGCCUCACCGGCUUUGGGCGUAGUAGAAUUUCUAAUAACGUCCUUUAACGGAGAUGGUUCCUUUGCCGAUAGAAGCCUUUAUUUUUCUAGGUUGACCUCGGAUCAGGUAGGGAUACCCGCUGAACUUAA
Molecule: unclassified non-coding RNA, 257 nt
Filed under: uncultured fungus
Lineage: Eukaryota; Fungi
Description: partial contains 5.8S ribosomal RNA, internal transcribed spacer 2, and large subunit ribosomal RNA
Rfam family: 5.8S ribosomal RNA (bases 1-52)
Source: RNAcentral